CCUACGGGUGGCAGCAGUAGGGAAUCUUCCACAAUGGGCGAAAGCCUGAUGGAGCAACGCCGCGUGCAGGAUGAAGGCUUUCGGGUUGUAAACUGCUUUUAUAAGCGAGAAAUAUGAUGGUAACUUAUGAAUAAGGAUCGGCUAACUACGUUCCAGCAGCCGCGGUCAUAAGUAGGAUCCGACCAGUAGCCGGAUUAACUGGGUGUAAAAAGUUGCGUAGGUGGCUUAAUAAGUAGCUAGAGAAAUCUGGUGGCGCAAAAAUACAGUCUAUUAUGUAAAAUGUGAAACUUGAGAGCUAGAGGGGAGAGUGGAAUUCCAUGUGUAGGGGUGAAAUGCGUAGAUAUAUGGAGGAACACC
Molecule: ribosomal RNA, 357 nt
Filed under: uncultured bacterium
Lineage: Bacteria
Description: partial 16S ribosomal RNA
Rfam family: Bacterial small subunit ribosomal RNA
Source: RNAcentral